Molecule: transfer RNA, 85 nt
Filed under: Leersia perrieri
Lineage: Eukaryota; Viridiplantae; Streptophyta; Magnoliopsida; Poales; Poaceae
Description: tRNA tRNA-Tyr
Rfam family: tRNA
About the family: Transfer RNA (tRNA) molecules are approximately 80 nucleotides in length.
Source: Rfam by way of RNAcentral
CCGACCUUAGCUCAGUUGGUAGAGCGGAGGACUGUAGUGUGUGCAGAUAAUCCUUAGGUCGCUGGUUCGAAUCCGGCAGGUCGGA